UACGUAGGGGGCGAGCGUUAUCCGGAGUUACUGGGCGUAAAGGGCACGCAGGCGGUCGUGCAAGUUUGGGGUUACAGCUCCCGGCUUAACUGGGAGAGCGCCUUGAAGACUGCGCGACUGGAGGGCCACAGAGGGACACAGAAUUCCGGGUGGAGUGGUGAAAUGCGUAGAUAUCCGGAGGAAUACCAAAGGCGAAGGCAGUGUCCUGGGUGGUACCUGACGCUCAGGUGCGAAAGCUAGGGGAG
Molecule: ribosomal RNA, 245 nt
Filed under: uncultured bacterium
Lineage: Bacteria
Description: partial 16S ribosomal RNA
Rfam family: Bacterial small subunit ribosomal RNA
Source: RNAcentral